Potamilus streckersoni is the source of this 74-nucleotide non-coding RNA. Lineage: Eukaryota; Metazoa; Mollusca; Bivalvia; Unionida; Unionidae. The record is from the annotation of a GenBank genome assembly.
UCACCGAUGGCUUAGUGGUUAGAGUGUCAGCCUCGGAUGCAGGAGGUUGUGGGUUCGAUUCCCGGUGAGUUGAG